GAACGCUGGCGGCAUGCCUUACACAUGCAAGUCGAACGGUAACGCGGGGCAACCUGGCGACGAGUGGCGAACGGGUGAGUAAUGCAUCGGAACGUGCCCAGUAGUGGGGGAUAGCCCGGCGAAAGCCGGAUUAAUACCGCAUACGACCUACGGGUGAAAGCGGGGGACCGCAAGGCCUCGCGCUAUUGGAGCGGCCGAUGUCAGAUUAGCUAGUUGGUGGGGUAAAGGCCUACCAAGGCGACGAUCUGUAGCUGGUCUGAGAGGACGACCAGCCACACUGGGACUGAGACACGGCCCAGACUCCUACGGGAGGCAGCAGUGGGGAAUUUUGGACAAUGGGGGCAACCCUGAUCCAGCCAUGCCGCGUGCGGGAAGAAGGCCUUCGGGUUGUAAACCGCUUUUGUCGGGGAAGAAACGGUCUGCGCUAAUACCGCGGGCUAAUGACGGUACCCGAAGAAUAAGCACCGGCUAACUACGUGCCAGCAGCCGCGGUAAUACGUAGGGUGCAAGCGUUAAUCGGAAUUACUGGGCGUAAAGCGUACGCAGGCUGUCAUAAAAGUUAGAAGUGAAAGCCCCGGGCUUAACCCGGGAAUUGCUUUUAAAACUGUAUGACUAGAGUACUGGAGAGGUUGGCGGAAUUCCGAGUGUAGCAGUGAAAUGCGUAGAUAUUCGGAGGAACACCGAUGGCGUAGGCAGCCAACUGGACAGUUACUGACGCUCAUGUACGAAAGCGUGGGGAUCAAACAGGAUUAGAUACCCUGGUAGUCCACGCCCUAAACGAUGUGUGCUAGUUGUCGGAGUCUUUAGGCCCCGGUGACGCAGCUAACGCUUUAAGCA
RNAcentral lists this ribosomal RNA (837 nucleotides) under uncultured beta proteobacterium. Its description in RNAcentral is "bacterial SSU rRNA". It matches the Rfam family "Bacterial small subunit ribosomal RNA", at positions 31 to 866 of the family's 1533-position model. The record is from RNAcentral. Lineage: Bacteria; Pseudomonadati; Pseudomonadota; Betaproteobacteria.